This 432-nucleotide ribosomal RNA is filed under the name Triticum aestivum (bread wheat). RNAcentral describes it as "partial small subunit ribosomal RNA". The record is from RNAcentral. Lineage: Eukaryota; Viridiplantae; Streptophyta; Magnoliopsida; Poales; Poaceae.
AUGAGAUUGGAAUACAGAAAAACAAUUAAAGACGAUACUGUAAGCAGAGUCCUCUUGGUUUGUGGGAAAUACGGCAAGCCAAAAACAAAAAAGGAGGAGACAGAGGAUGUGCAGGACCCAAAAGGCAUCGUGAAGAAGGGGAAAAGAGGGAAGGUUGUGAGGUCGGGAUGUCCGGCCCACCUUUACAUCACCCACACGGAUGCGUGGUGGAGAGUCAAAUGCUUCAACGACGACCACAACCACCCUCUAAUAAGAAAGCCGUCCUUGACAAAGUUCCUAUCAUCACAUAGGAACAUUCCAAAAGAUGAGCAGGACUUCUUGAAGAUAUUGCACGGAUGCAACAUAGAGACAGCAAGGCUGAUGCAACUAAUGUCAUGGUUCUACGGGAAUCCUAAAGAUGUACCAUACACAACAAAGGACAUCGCAAACUAG